GGGGAUUUGGCUCAGUGGUAGAGUGCUUGCCUAGCAAGCGCGAGGCCCUGGGUUCGGCUCCCAGCUCCG
This is a non-coding RNA of Rattus norvegicus (Norway rat), 69 nucleotides long. The record is from Rfam. NCBI's taxonomy places the organism in Eukaryota, Metazoa, Chordata, Mammalia, Rodentia, Muridae.